RNAcentral lists this ribosomal RNA (433 nucleotides) under uncultured bacterium. RNAcentral's name for it is "partial 16S ribosomal RNA". It matches the Rfam family "Bacterial small subunit ribosomal RNA", at positions 29 to 507 of the family's 1533-position model. The record is from RNAcentral.
AACGAACGCUGGCGGCAUGCCUAACACAUGCAAGUCGAACGGGACCUUCGGGUCUAGUGGCGGACGGGUGCGUAACGCGUGGGAACCUGCCCUUAGGUUCGGAAUCACUCCCCGAAAGGGGUGCUAAUACCGGAUGAUGUCAUCGGACCAAAGAUUUAUCGCCUUUGGAUGGGCCCGCGUUGGAUUAGCUAGUUGGUAGUGUAAAAGCCUAGCAAGGCGUCGAUCCAUAGCUGGUCGGAGAGGAGGCCCAGCCACACUGGGAAUGAGACCCGGCCCAGCACCGUACGCGAGGCAGCAGUGGGGAAUACUGGACAAGGGGCGAAAGCCUGACCCAGCCACGCCGGGGGAGUCAUGAAGGCCUUAGGGUUGUACAGCUCUCUGACCCGGGAUGAGAAUGACAGUACCGGGAGAAUAAGCUCCGGCUAACUCCGUG